CCUACGGGAGGCUGCAGUGGGGAAUAUUGGACAAUGGGGGGAACCCUGAUCCAGCGACGCCGCGUGAGUGAAGAAGUAUUUCGGUAUGUAAAGCUCUAUCAGCAGGGAAGAAAGAAAUGACGGUACCUGACUAAGAAGCCCCGGCUAACUACGUGCCAGCAGCCGCGGUAAUACGUAGGGGGCAAGCGUUAUCCGGAUUUACUGGGUGUAAAGGGAGCGUAGACAGCGAUGCAAGUCUGAAGUGAAAGGCGGGGGCCCAACCCCCGGACUGCUUUGGAAACUGUAUGGCUGGAGUGCAGGAGAGGUAAGUGGAAUUCCUAGUGUAGCGGUGAAAUGCGUAGAGAUUAGGAGGAACACCAGUGGCGAAGGCGGCUUACUGGACUGUAACUGACGUUGAGGCUCGAAAGCGUGGGGAGCAAACAGGAUUAGAUACCCGAGUAGUC
This 443-nucleotide ribosomal RNA is filed under the name uncultured bacterium. Its description in RNAcentral is "partial 16S ribosomal RNA". It matches the Rfam family "Bacterial small subunit ribosomal RNA", at positions 338 to 795 of the family's 1533-position model. The record is from RNAcentral.